Molecule: transfer RNA, 70 nt
Filed under: Nanorana yunnanensis (Yunan spiny frog)
Lineage: Eukaryota; Metazoa; Chordata; Amphibia; Anura; Dicroglossidae
Description: tRNA-Val
Source: RNAcentral
CAAAGUGUAGCUUAAUUCAAAGCCCCUUGCUUACACCAAAGAAAUGUUUGUGAAAUCCAAUCCACUUUGA